CCUGCCUUUCGUCAGCAGUAGUCACUUACCAGGCAUGUGUUAGGUCAGUGCACUAUCAAAGGAGAUGCUUCAAUAUGCAGUUUUUGGCUUCCAUUUUCAAAGUAAGACAUGAAGGCACCUAGAGUAAUACCCAAAUUACUUUUUUGGGAGUGUAUAUUUACAAAUGUGUUCUUAUUGUUUUCUAGUUCCAUAGUGAUCCAUUGUCUGCUAUAAAUGCCUGCUUUGAAGGUGACACUGUUAUUGUUUGUCCUGGCCAUUAUGUGGUACAUGGCACUUUCUCCAUUGCUGACUCCAUUGAGUUGGAAGGAUAUGGCCUACCAGAUGACAUUGUGAUAGAAAAGAGAGGCAAAGGCGACACUUUUGUGGACUGCACCGGUGCUGAUAUUAAAAUCUCAGGCAUAAAAUUUGUUCAGCACGAUGCUGUAGAGGGAAUCUUAAUUGUUCACCGUGGUAAGACUACGCUGGAAAACUGUGUGCUGCAGUGU
This 485-nucleotide small RNA is filed under the name Pongo abelii (Sumatran orangutan). RNAcentral describes it as "retained intron". Lineage: Eukaryota; Metazoa; Chordata; Mammalia; Primates; Hominidae. The record is from RNAcentral.